GAUUCCUGCCCCUCAGCAGCUGGGUGGCUGAAGGGAGCUCAGGAAGCUCAGGGCAAAUCAGCCUCACUAAUUUGGAGACACCUUACCGUAGAAGUUGGUCCUCCUCUCUCCAGAGCCCGCCAUAAAGCUGGGCUUUUGUGGUGAGAAGAAGAAAAUGAGCCAUCCUCAUCCCAUCUCCUCCAACAUCUAUGCCACGUGAGGCUCCAGAACGGCUCUACUUUCCGACCUGGCUGCACUGCAACUAGCCCUUAACCAAGGUGUCCACGGCGUCUUCACCCCCUACCUCUUGCCCUCCAGAGCCGGUAAGGCCCCUUUUCCACGUUAUCGCUGGGACUCUUCUCACCCUAUGCAGUUCUCCUUAGACCAAGGCACUGGAAGGCUUGGCAUCAAAUGGAAAACUCCAUUCAGAAGACACUACAAUUGCAUUCUCUUGCAAGAAUUUAAACCUCCCUUUUCAUACAUAGAAAAAGGGAAUCAAGGUAAAAAAUAAUAAAAAAGAAAAAUAUAGAUAAUAAAA
This 517-nucleotide non-coding RNA is filed under the name Pan troglodytes (chimpanzee). Lineage: Eukaryota; Metazoa; Chordata; Mammalia; Primates; Hominidae. The record is from RNAcentral.